This 573-nucleotide ribosomal RNA is filed under the name Saccharomyces cerevisiae (brewer's yeast). RNAcentral describes it as "eukaryotic LSU rRNA". It matches the Rfam family "Eukaryotic large subunit ribosomal RNA", at positions 68 to 656 of the family's 3401-position model. Lineage: Eukaryota; Fungi; Ascomycota; Saccharomycetes; Saccharomycetales; Saccharomycetaceae. The record is from RNAcentral.
CCCGCCCAUGCCUUAGUACGGCGAGUGAAGCGGCAAAAGCUCAAAUUUGAAAUCUGGUACCUUCGGUGCCCGAGUUGUAAUUUGGAGAGGGCAACUUUGGGGCCGUUCCUUGUCUAUGUUCCUUGGAACAGGACGUCAUAGAGGGUGAGAAUCCCGUGUGGCGAGGAGUGCGGUUCUUUGUAAAGUGCCUUCGAAGAGUCGAGUUGUUUGGGAAUGCAGCUCUAAGUGGGUGGUAAAUUCCAUCUAAAGCUAAAUAUUGGCGAGAGACCGAUAGCGAACAAGUACAGUGAUGGAAAGAUGAAAAGAACUUUGAAAAGAGAGUGAAAAAGUACGUGAAAUUGUUGAAAGGGAAGGGCAUUUGAUCAGACAUGGUGUUUUGUGCCCUCUGCUCCUUGUGGGUAGGGGAAUCUCGCAUUUCACUGGGCCAGCAUCAGUUUUGGUGGCAGGAUAAAUCCAUAGGAAUGUAGCUUGCCUCGGUAAGUAUUAUAGCCUGUGGGAAUACUGCCAGCUGGGACUGAGGACUGCGACGUAAGUCAAGGAUGCUGGCAUAAUGGUUAUAUGCCGCCCGUCUGA